GAUGAAGAACGUAGCGAAAUGCGAUAAGUAAUGUGAAUUGCAGAAUUCAGUGAAUCAUCGAAUCUUUGAACGCACAUUGCGCCCAUUAGUAUUCUAGUGGGCAUGCCUGUUCGAGCGUCAUUUCAACCCUUAAGCCUAGCUUAGUGUUGGGAGCCUACUGCUUUUACUAGCUGUAGCUCCUGAAAUACAACGGCGGAUCUGCGAUAUCCUCUGAGCGUAGUAAUUUUUAUCUCGCUUUUGACUGGAGUUGCAGCGUCUUUAGCCGCUAAAUCCCCCAAUUUUUAAUGGUUGACCUCGGAUCAGGUAGGAAUACCCGCUGAACUUAAGCAUAUCAAUAAGCGGAGGA
This 346-nucleotide unclassified non-coding RNA is filed under the name soil metagenome. RNAcentral describes it as "partial contains 5.8S ribosomal RNA, internal transcribed spacer 2, and large subunit ribosomal RNA". The stretch from base 1 to 120 matches the Rfam family "5.8S ribosomal RNA", at positions 35 to 154 of the family's 154-position model. The record is from RNAcentral.